RNAcentral lists this long non-coding RNA (471 nucleotides) under Rattus norvegicus (Norway rat). RNAcentral's name for it is "long non-coding RNA NONRATT016016". Lineage: Eukaryota; Metazoa; Chordata; Mammalia; Rodentia; Muridae. The record is from RNAcentral.
UGUCAUCCUGGAAGACGCGUGCAGGCAGAUGCAGAAGAGCAGUGACUACGCAGUGUGUCCUGAUGCACAGCAGGGGCGGGGGAGACAGAGACAGAGACAGAGACAGAGACUGGGCCUGGCAUGGACUUUGGAACCUCAGAGUUCACCCCUAGUGAUACUUUCUCCAACAAGACCACUCCCACUCAAACAAGGCUACAGUCCUAAUAUUUGUUUCCGACAGUUCCACUCCCUGGUGACUAAGCGUCUUAGGCCUAUGGAGGCCAUUCUUAUUCCAACUACCACACUAACACAUUCAUUAAAGUAAUGUGUUCUUUUGCCAGGCAUGAUCACAUAUACCUUUGAUCCCAGAUCUUGGGAGUCAGAGGCAAGUAGAUCUUUGAGCUUGAGACCAACUGGGGCUAUGUGGUGAAAACUUUGUCUCAAAAAAAGAAAAAAAAAAAAUUCCCACAUUAGUUUUAAAAAAAAAAAAAA